GAGAUUUUAAAAAUUCUGGUGGCAAGUUAAGAUCCAAAAAGCUUCCAGCAUGGAAUAAAGUCUUCAUAAAGAUCCAGAAUCAGAAUGAUACCAGGUUUUCUUAACUGUGACUUCAGAAGCUAUAAUUGAUCAAUGCCUUUGUGCUGAUGGAAGAUUAUUUCCAACCUAAAAUUCUAUAUCCAGUUAAACUAUUAAUUAUAUGUACAGCUAGUGUGAAAGAAAAAUAUUUUAUAUCAUGCAUUUUCUGACAUGAAAAGUCUUUAAAAACUCCUUCCAGUCUCAUUUUCUCAGUAAGCUGCUGGGAGCAUGUAUCCUCCCAAAAAAGGUAGUGAAAAAGAAAUAGACCUGUGGAAUAAGGAAUCGCAGAAGGGAGAUAGAGCAUAUCACCAAGACGGUAGAGAAGGCUCCCCAAAUGAGCAUGGUGGUAGGCACACAGAGAAAUGAGUUAGUAACAGGUCAGAGGGCUGAGAAAGAGAUUAGCAGCCCUGAUAUCCAGGAGCUGGCUGCGCACUCACAGCUAAGCCCUGGUGUUCUGUUGAUCCUAAACAAUUUCACAGAACAUCAACUUCAGACAAAGCCACUGUGUGAUUAUGAUGGAGCAAGACAAAAACAAGACCAUUUCAUAAUUGUUUUUGAAUACAGACAAAAACAUGAAUGUUGUCCAAGCCACAAAACAGCAUACAUCCCCCACUUACAGUCUUUACCAAUUACAGCUUUCCUCCAUCUAGUCUUUUCUCUAAGAUUUGUUAAGAUACUCAACCAUAAAAUUACUCUCAUCUCCUGACAACAUCCAAAUUCAAAGCUAAGUCUCAUUCCUUACACCAUUUCCCACAUCACAUGACACAAGUCCAAGUGUGGCUAAUACCCUCUACUCCUUUCUAAUUCCCUCUGCUGAGACCUCCUACAAUUCCCUGUGGUAUGUGUUCUCCCUUGCUGCAAUGAGUGAUUAAACAACCCAUUCGAUUAUAAAAGCAUUCCUGUUGUCUUUUGCUAGAGGCCACUGACAAGGCUCAGGAAUGAUUUCUUCAAGAAAAUUAAAUGCGUGGACUAUCAAAUGUGUUUUAACACACUGAGAGGAAAUUCAUGCAACUGGAGAGAAGGGGCUUGGGACUGAACUAAUAAAUACACAGGAAAAUAUACAAAAGAAAAAACAGGAUGAUUAUAAAUUCCUGAGAGUGUAAAGUUUUAUUAAAAAAAGGGCAAUUAUAUAAUAUAACAUGGCUCAGGUAUGCAUAGGCUUCACAUGUUCAUAACA
Molecule: long non-coding RNA, 1255 nt
Filed under: Marmota monax (woodchuck)
Lineage: Eukaryota; Metazoa; Chordata; Mammalia; Rodentia; Sciuridae
Source: RNAcentral